RNAcentral lists this ribosomal RNA (434 nucleotides) under uncultured bacterium. RNAcentral describes it as "bacterial SSU rRNA". It matches the Rfam family "Bacterial small subunit ribosomal RNA", at positions 954 to 1392 of the family's 1533-position model. The record is from RNAcentral.
GCACAACGCGAAGAACCUUACCAAGUCUUGACAUCCCAUUGACCAGCAGAGUAAUGUCUGCCUCCCUUCGGGGCAAUGGAGACAGGUGGUGCAUGGUUGUCGUCGGCUCGUGUCGUGAGAUGUUGGGCUAAGUCCCGCAACGAGCGCAACCCUUGCCAUUAGUUGCUACGAAAGGGCACUCUAAUGGGACUGCCGGUGACAAACCGGAGGAAGGUGGGGAUGACGUCAAAUCAUCAUGCCCCUUAUGACCUGGGCUACACACGUGCUACAAUGGCCGGGUACAAAGGGCAGCGAAGCCGCGAGGCGGAGCCAAUCCCAAAAAGCCGGUCUCAGUUCGGAUUGUAGGCUGCAACUCGCCUGCAUGAAGUCGGAAUUGCUAGUAAUCGCGGAUCAGCAUGCCGCGGUGAAUACGUUCCCGGGUCUUGUACACACCG